Molecule: long non-coding RNA, 1029 nt
Organism: Heterocephalus glaber (naked mole-rat)
Lineage: Eukaryota; Metazoa; Chordata; Mammalia; Rodentia; Bathyergidae
Source: Ensembl
AAGAGACUUAUCCAACCAUGGCUUUACUUUAGGAUGAUCUGGCUUGGCUACUUAGUUGUGGAGCCUAGAAGCCCACUACCUCCCGACCUCUCAGUUUCAGUUGGUCACACUGUGCGCGGAAGGAUCUUCUUACCUCCUGGUUGAGCAUGAGUCUGUCAACUACUAUUUUGAAAGCUGAAACAGAUCUGAUGAAACUGCAACCUGAGCUGCCAAGAACAAGCUGGCUCCUGCCUCUCACCCUGUUUCCCUAGGCAUCCAAGCCUCCUUCUGUGGCAUCCCAUUCGGCAUCUAAUACAGACACGGUGACUGACUGGAAAUUACUACUCAAGAUUUGUCAGCUGACUGGUAGAAUACUUGGAAGCUCAACCAUGCGCCUGGUAAAAGCUAAACCCAGGAAAUAACAUGGCCUCAAGCUGAAGGGGAAAUGCCUGACAAUGUCCACUGGGAAAAGGAAAAAAACAAGUGAGACUCAAGUUGUGAUCCUGCUUCCCAGGUCUUUCCUGCCCACCUCUUCCUUUCUUUUGGGGGUACACUUUCACUGGCAAGGAGAAUAAAAAGCUGUUACAAACAGAAACUUGUAAAGUGAUGAAGAAUUGAGCCAGUGGGCACAGAAAUAAAUGCUAUAACUGUAAAAUGGUGGAUGGGAAAAUGUGUGCAGACAGGCCGUGAAUGAAAAGAGGCACUGUGCAUGUCACUACCUUGGACAGGAGUUUUUAAAAAGUCUUACCAUCUCACUUUUCCCUUGCCUUAUUUUUCUGGGUAGAUUUGACAGCUCAGAAUUCCUGAGUGACUCUCCUUUCUUAUUUCACAUCUUUUUGGUUCAUUUUUCUUCUUUUCACAAUUUGAAAGCCCUCAUCCCAAGCUUUAGAAAGGAGGGAGGGGAAAGCCACCACAGGCCUGGGCUUUACCCAUGACUUUCUAUGACUUAGAAGACUCUCACAUUCUCUGCAUCUGUGGGUUUCAUCAGUCAAGUGUGCAUAGACAAUGCCCCUUCCAACCAUGAAACAGGAAGGUGCAAAUAGCAAGCAG